Molecule: long non-coding RNA, 864 nt
Filed under: Anas platyrhynchos platyrhynchos (common mallard)
Lineage: Eukaryota; Metazoa; Chordata; Aves; Anseriformes; Anatidae
Description: lncRNA (ENSAPLG00000021018.1)
Source: RNAcentral
CCAACCCCGUCUCCAUCAUCCCCAUUCUCCUCAUCCCCAUGGUCUCCACCUCCGUUUCCAACAUCCUCCUCACCCCCAUGGUCUCCAUCCCCGUCUCCAUCAUCCCCAUCCUCAUCCUCAUCCCCAUGGUCUCCAACCCCAUCUCCAUCAUCCCCGUUCUCCUCAUCCCCAUGGUCUCCACCUCCGUUUCCAUCAUCCUCAUCAUCCCCAUGGUCUCCAUCCCCAUCCUCAUACUCAUGUUCUCCAUUUCCAUGGUCUCCAUCAUCCCCAUCCUCCCCAUCCCCAUGGUCUCCAUCCAUCCUCAUCCCCAUCCCCACGGCCCCAUCUCCACCCCACUGCCUCCACCUCUUCUUCCAGGGCCUCCCAGGAGAGAGGGGUCUGGCCGGCCCCGAGGGGAAACCGGGCUUGCCAGGCUUCCCCGGCGUGCUGGGACGCCCGGGCAACCAGGGAGAGCCGGGACCACCAGGACCUCCGGGCACCGCUGGCCCCCCGGGGACCCAGGGCCCAGCUGGGAUGAAGGUACAUCAUCAUCAUCAUCAUCAUCACCAUCACCAUCACCAUCAUCACCAUCACCAUAUUUGACCCCGCAGAGGAACGCGCGGUGCCCUGCAGGCACCAGGGGCUGUGGGGAAAAAUGAGGGGCUGGUCCCCUGCUGGAGCCAGCCGCUGGGGGGCUCAGGGGACAUGGGGACAUGGUGGCAGGGCUGUUGGGGUGGUGGGACCGACGCGGGUGCUGUCUCCACAGGGUGACCCCGGGGAGCCUGGUGCCAGCAUCCGGGUGAGCCUCCACUCCCCCCCACCCGGUCCCUGACCCCAAAUCCCUUCCCAGGGGACAGAUGACGUCCCGGCGAGAUGUCCCAGCGU